Molecule: long non-coding RNA, 1485 nt
Organism: Oncorhynchus gorbuscha (pink salmon)
Lineage: Eukaryota; Metazoa; Chordata; Actinopteri; Salmoniformes; Salmonidae
Exons: 3
Source: RefSeq, a predicted model, not a curated record
GAAAACAACGCUACGACAGACAGAAAAAGUUGAAAUGUUUUAACUGUCUCUGGCGGUAAAUCCCGUCUACUGUGGCGGCUGACUGCAUAUACAAUCGUAAAUUCAUUGAAAACAAUGGCAUCCGGUUUGCCGUCUACCAACGACGUCUACCGCCUACCACAUAAACGCAGCAUCAGGCUUGCCAGUUUUUCUCCCUCAGUUGAUUAAUUAGCUACUUAAAACAGAUUACAGGCCGUUUAACCAGGGGAUGACGCUUAGGUUAUAUUGGGCAGACACACUUGAUGCUGAUGGGACUAGAUAGGAAUUUAAAAAGUUCAAUGUGGAGUCGCUAUGCCAUCAGAACAUGCAAGGCUUCUUCGGUGGCCUUUGCCCCCUAAAAAGAUUCCCCCCAUUGUGAAACCACUUCCUCCACCUAUAUUUUCAGAGAGAAAGGCUCUGAAGGACAGUGCCACAGAGGGGAUGGAGUCGAGUUGCCAUGUGCUUCCUCUUUGGGACUAUGACCCUGCAGCCUUCAGAGUGGCCCCCACUCCCCUGACCUCAGUCCCAAUGAUGCUGAUGCCUAAAAUAAUUGAGGGCUUCUGCUGUUAACCCCAAUGCACCCUCCCUAAAAUCCCCCUCCUCGACCGCCUCAAGACAGACCCCAGAUGCAUCCCUUCUCUCCCUACCUUUAGCUUCAAUGAUUUCCUGCGGGACCCUAAUGGCAGCAGUGAUCACCAGUUGCUGGAGGGCCUGAAGAAAGUGGCCCUGUCUCGCUGCAACUAGAGAAAGUUGGUUGGGUUCUUCCUAAUGUAACUGCACCAAGGGCAGCGGGCUGAAGUGUCCAAGCAGCUGAAGUGUCCAAGUCCACUGAGAAAGUGCUUGAGGCAAAGACCAGAAUCCCACAGAGGCAGAUCAUAUGUGAAACACACUGUAUAUAAUAUAUUAAAAGAUGACCUGCCAUUGUAGUAGGCUAGAGUCCAGAUUGUAUUAUUAAGUGGGUAUUGUAUGACAAGGAUGCUUGCUUUUGUAAGUUACAGUGGUGUACUGUUUCCUCAUGCGUAUUGUGUGUGUGUUAGUAUUUGUUGUGUUAUCUGAUUAAAACGGACAGCAUUGAUCCGUAUGGAGGUGCAGGCUCAGAUGAUGUGUUGGUUGAGCUGUCAGGGAGAUUAGACCUGCAGGUCUGAGCAGAGGUCUGUAGAGAUCUGAGUACCACCAGGGGAAAGACAAUAUGUUCAGAAGCAGGAAAACGUAUAUCCCCAGGCAAGGACAUGUUUGCCUUCUUACUUACUAUACCAUAACCAACACUACAUACCUCUUAAAACACACCUUUUUAUUGGUGCCUUUCUUUAUCAUGCUUUUUAGUCGUUCAGUUUUGAUUUAUUGUUUCGUUUUUUUCAUCUUAUGUUUGUUGUAUUGUAAAUAUUUCAGUUUUUAUUUUCCUGUGUAGCACAUUGCGUUGCAUUCCUUGUCUGAAAUGUGCUGUAUAAAUAAAGCUUGAUUUGAUGA